Molecule: long non-coding RNA, 1916 nt
Organism: Astatotilapia calliptera (eastern happy)
Lineage: Eukaryota; Metazoa; Chordata; Actinopteri; Cichliformes; Cichlidae
Source: Ensembl
GCAUCAUUUGUUUUAGGAAAUACUCACAUGUACCGAAACACAUUUACAACAACUCUGCACUAAACUCACAAUGAUAGCAUCGUAUAAUACUCUGCUGUAUUUUUUAAAAGGUUUUUUCCUCAUUUAUUACAGUUUGCACUCCAGAAAAAAGUAAAAAAAGUCCAAGGUUAUGGGGCGUGGGAGUGGACUACUACCGUAUUUUUCGGACCAUAAGGCGCACAUUAAGCGAAAAAAAAAAAAAAGUCAGAAAAGUCAAACUUUAUUCAAAUCAUUCUUCUUGCUUCCUCCACUUCUGUACCAUUGAUUCAUUAAUGCUGAAUCCUCUCUCAGCUGCUCUAUUCCCAUGUUGUUGCAGUAUAUUAAUGACUAACCUCGUAUUGUGGAAGGAUUAUCUCAGUUGUUCUCCUGACUGAAGUUUGGUCCGUUUACAGCAUCCUGCCAUGCGAUUGCAUUUGUCUCUAACCAUCAGGAACCCUCACGUUAACUUUUAUCCAGUGGAAAACUGUUCGCGUUCAUCCUUCAGCUUCACUAUGUUUAUGCUAUGCUAACAUAGCUGUGUUGCUAGCGAUCAUGUAGCACAUCAUUAUAUAGCAGCUAGCCCAACUUCAGUAACCAUACAAACGUCACUGCUGUUUAAUUUUCUGUCUUCAUUUAUGUUGGAAGUGAUAGCAGAGCUGUACGUUUUGAAUUUUUUCAGAAAUCUCUCAGUCAGAACAUGCUAUAUCAUGCUUAGGUGGAAGCUAGCGAGCUAACUUCCUGCUAACUUCUAACUUUGUUAAAUGUAAUCAGUUCUAUUUUAAUGGAUGCCUGGAUGUUAAACUUAAUUGUUACACCUGGUAAAGCAGCAACGCUGAUCAUUUUAUUAAAAAUGAAAGAAUUUAGUCAGUUUUUAACUCUCAUUGAUGCCGCAGUGUUCGUUUGACUUUGGGACCUGAGGCAGUAGUGAUGUGUCGUUCACGAACGAAACGGCUCUUAGAGCUGGGUCUUUGAAGUGAACAACAAGAGCCGUAUUUUUUUUUUUUUCUUUCUCUCUCUCUCACACUUUUUUCCCGCUUCACUCCGCAUGUGAGUCUUGUGCUUUGCGCUGGGAAGAGGGGCGGUAGUUACACUCGCAGUAGCACAGGAACAGAGCAGGAGGGAGAGACAGAGAAGGAGAGCCAGGGACAACAACGUCACAUUAGAAAAGUAUAGUAAUCAUCCACAACUAUUUUCAGUUGCGGAUGAUAAAGGAUUCAGAAAGUUUUUACAUGCAGGCCCAUAUGAGAGAAAAUGUGCAUCUUCUUUUUGUUUUCAUAUUUUAAUUUAUAUUUAAUUGUGUUGUGGUUUGCAGUGUUUUGUGUUGUUUCACUUUAAAUUUGUUUAAAAGGAAAAAACUGAACAUUUAAAUUGUUAAAAGUUGAAAUGUAAAUGGUUGUUUUUUGUAUUAUAUGAUUUAUUUAGGCAGCACGGUGGCACGGUGGUUAGCACUGUUGCCGCACAGCAAGAAGGUCCUGAGUUCAAUUCCAACAUCAGGCCGGGGUCUUUCUGUGUGGAGUUUGCAUGUUCUCCCCGUGUUUGCGUGGGUUCCCUCCGGGUACUCCGGCUUCCUCCCACCGUCCAAAGACAUGCAGCUUGUGGGGAUAGGUUAAUUGGAUAACCCAAAUUGUCACUAGGUGUGAAUGUGCGAAUGAAAGUGAGUGCGAAUGGUUGUCUGUCCCUGUAUGUUGGCCCUGCGACAGACUGGCGACCUGUCCAGGGUGUACCCCGCCUCUCGCCCUAUGACAGCUGGGAUAGGCUCCAGCGCCCCCCGCGACCCUGAAAAAGGAUAAGCGGAAGCGAAUGGAUGGAUGGAUGAUUUAUUUAUUAUAUUUUAUGUGGAGUGAAUAAAUAAAAGUAUAUUUACGGUAACCGCUAGAGACAAAGCACGUACAAACCCC